AUCUUCCUAGUAUUAAAGUAGUACAAGUGACUUCCAAUCAUUUAGUCUUGGUUAAACCCCAGGGGAAGAUA
This 71-nucleotide transfer RNA is filed under the name Opsariichthys bidens. RNAcentral's name for it is "tRNA-Gly". It matches the Rfam family "tRNA". From Rfam's summary of the family: Transfer RNA (tRNA) molecules are approximately 80 nucleotides in length. The record is from RNAcentral. Lineage: Eukaryota; Metazoa; Chordata; Actinopteri; Cypriniformes; Xenocyprididae.